RNAcentral lists this ribosomal RNA (1520 nucleotides) under human gut metagenome. Its description in RNAcentral is "bacterial LSU rRNA". It matches the Rfam family "Bacterial large subunit ribosomal RNA", at positions 843 to 2259 of the family's 2925-position model. The record is from RNAcentral.
UGAUAGCUGGUUCUCUCCGAAAUGCAUUUAGGUGCAGCGUCGGGGAUUACGUCCGGGGGGUAGAGCUACUGGAUGCUUGAGGGCCCGUAUCGGGUACCGACAGCAGCCAAACUCCGAAUACCCGUGACGCGUAUCCCGGCAGUGAGUCGGCGGGGGAUAAGCUCCGUCGUCGAAAGGGAGACAGCCCAGAUCGUCGUCUAAGGUCCCCAAGCGCGUGCUAAGUGGGAAAGGAUGUGGAGUCGCAUAGACAGCCAGGAGGUUGGCUCAGAAGCAGCCAUCCUUGAAAGAGUGCGUAACAGCUCACUGGUCUAGUGGUUCCGCGCCGACAAUGUAGCGGGGCUCAAGCACGCCACCGAAGACGCGGCAGCGUCCGUUUGGAUGCUGGGUAGGAGAGCGUCCCCAUCGGGGCGAAGCGGCGGCGCAAGCCUGCCGUGGACCGUUGGGGAGUGAGAAUGCAGACAUGAGUAGCGAGAGGCGGGUGCGAAUCCCGCCCGCUGGAUGACCAAGGGUUCCGGGGCCACGUUCGUCGUCCCCGGGUGAGUCGGGUCCUAAGGCGAGGCCGACAGGCGUAGUCGAAUGGAUGAACGGGCUGAUAUUCCCGUACCGGCAGCGAACCGAAACAACCGAGGCCUGGGGCGCUAACCUCCGGGUCCGUGCCGUCUCCCCUUUCGGGGGGUCGCGGCGCGGGCGCGUUGGGAUCCCCCCUCGUAGUAGGUCAGCGCAGGAGUGACGCAUCAGGGCAGCCGGCCGCGGAGGUGGUUUUCCGUGGUCAAGCGUUCGAGCCCGUCCCGCAGGCAAAUCCGCGGGGCGUCGGGGCGAGGCGUGAUGAUGGGGGCCUUACGGCCCGAAUCCGGUGAUCCGUGGUGCCGAGAAAAGCUUCGGCGUCAGGCGCGUUGCCGCCCGUACCCCAAACCGACACUGGUGGUCAGGUAGAGAAUACCAAAGCGAUCGAGCGAAUCCUGGUCAAGGAACUCGGCAAAUUGCUCCCGUGCCUUCGGCAUAAGGGAGACCCCCUGCGGUGAUGAGCGGCGGGGGGUGGCACAGGCCAGGGGGUAGCGACUGUUUACCAAAAACACAGGAGCGUGCGAAGGCGCAAGCCGCUGUAUACGCUCUGACGCCUGCCCGGUGCCGGAAGGUUAAGAGGAUCCGUCAGCUUUCUGCGAAGCGGUGAAUUCAAGCCCCGGUAAACGGCGGUGGUAACUAUAACCAUCCUAAGGUAGCGAAAUUCCUUGUCGGGUAAGUUCCGACCUGCACGAAUGGCGUAACGACUUCCCCACUGUCUCGACCAGGAGCUCGGCGAAAUUGCAGUACGAGUAAAGAUGCUCGUUAAGCGCAGAAGGACGAAAAGACCCCGGGACCUUUACUAUACCUUGGUAUUGGCAUUAGGCGCGGAUUGUGUAGCAUAGGCGGGAGGCUUCGAGGCGGGUGCGCCAGCAUCCGCGGAGCCGCAAGGUGAAAUACCGCUCUGUUCUCGUUUGAUGUCUAACCUCGAACAGUCAUCCUGUUCAGGGACAGUGCCU